GAGAAAAUCCUGUCUCACCUGCAAUCCCUAAGGAAGGUGUUGGCAGAAUCAGAAUUUCUGGACUGGAGAGUGAGUGAAGAGAAGAGACACCAGGACUACCUGGUACAGGGGGUCCCCUCUGUUCUUCAGCAGUCUGAAUGAGUCUUUGGGUAUUUAUUUUUCCACAAGCCCCUCUUGAAGAAACACGUGGGAUCAUAUCCAAGAGGCAUCCUGGCACCCUGCAAAACUCUAAUCCAGUUGGAGUGGCUGGUGCAGAUCCUGGGAAGGUUUGGCAAGCACCACCUCCAAGUGCAGCUGCUUAUUAUCCGCACUUUAAAUCAAUGUCAUGGUGCUGCUCAUUUUCAUCCCAGGCUGAGCAAUAGAGGGACACUUGUUAACAUGGAAUUAACACUCCCCCCCUGCUUCUCAGAGCCUGGAUUGGUUUUGGACAGAAUAUAGAGGAGAAUGGCAACAGGGGAGGGAAAAGGAGAACGGUGGGGUAAAGUAGGUAAUUACACUGCAGUCGCUAAUCCGCUGCACCCCCAGCCCUGCCCUAUUGUUACAGCCUCCCUGGAUACAGCGGAAGCACUUUUGUCCUUUAACUCAGAAGGGAAAAUUCAGGUCUGGGGGUUGCAUAUACAUUUCUUGUCUCCUCCGGGAGAGGAGUGAAGCCGAGCGGCGCCGCAUAUGAGGCUGAGUUUGAGCGGCUGCUGGCAGAGCCGGAGCGCACCGUGCUGGGGCUGCUGGCUGAGCUGGACCACACCUUCUAGCUACCCGUGCCGAAAAAUCACUGCCGGUGGCCGAGGGGGUUGCACAGCUUCACAGACUCAUCGGGCAGCUAGAGGCCAGGAUGUUUGGAGCAUAAUAAGCCGCUUGAGUGAAAUGAGGCUCCACCUCCCUUCGGGGCUCACCAAGGAGCUGGAGAAGAGCCUGAGCUCCUGCUGCCACGAAAGUGAUGCUCUGUGGGAGGCUCUGGAGAAGUUCAGAGACACAGAUUGCCCCAUGGGUCUCGCCACAACAAAGACAAUGCUGGAGACUGGCAUGACUCCUCUCCCACAGCUUUUGGCAGAGAGAAAAAGUGUGCAGUGGGAUGAGGAGGAGGAGCAGGAUGAGGCCAGAGAACCCUGCUGAGGCUAGGAGCUGGCUGGUAGCUCUCAGGUGGUCAUUGCCAGGAGAUGCAGGACGUGGACACAGUAGGUGGACUCUGCAAGAUGCCACCUGUGCAUCUUCAUCCUAGGUGCUGCCCAUACUCCUAGGGAGACAAAUGGUUUUAUUAUGAGAAGCUCCCCUUCCAGCUGCUUCAAUUAGCAACCAAUCUUGUGUUGCUGCUCACCAUGUAGGUAAUGAAUUAAAAAACAAAAAAUACCACCCCCAAUUUUCCUUUUGUGUAUAUGUGUGUGUGUGUGUGUGUGUGUGUGUGUGUAUGCAUCAGCUAGAUUUUA
RNAcentral lists this long non-coding RNA (1421 nucleotides) under Lonchura striata (white-rumped munia). RNAcentral describes it as "domestica (Bengalese finch) lncRNA (ENSLSDG00000013620.1)". Lineage: Eukaryota; Metazoa; Chordata; Aves; Passeriformes; Estrildidae. The record is from RNAcentral.